GGCACACUCAAUAAGUGCGGUGGAUAACAUAUAGUGUGCGCUUUCAGGCACACUCAAUGACAUAUCUGUCUUAAUAUUACUACAUACAGUACCAUAUAACUUUGUUUUAUUGAGAAAGUGUUUUAACAACACAUGAGUUUAUCUGUUAUAUCACAAAAGGUUCUACAUCAACAUAUUUCAUAAAACAUUAAACUGUUCUCACUGUAACAUGGUAAGGUAUUUAUUAAUGAGAAGACAGUGCAGCUGACACUGACAAGAAAAACUCUUUGGUUUCAGUUUGAUUUCAUGCUUUUACAGAGACACGAUCAAUGUAUUAUCAUGCCAUUCGUCUAUAAUCUACGUCCAUAAAAGAUUUUGUUAAAACAAGAACACUUUAGUAGAUAAGAUUUAUUUACUUAUUAUGACAUGCCGGCACCAAUACGCUGUGGUAAUGUAAAACAUCUGCUUGUGUUGUGUUUGUAGAGUGCUGCACACUCUCAUGUUGAAGACAUUACUGAUGGGAACAACAAUUGUGAAAUAACUGUCACUGUGAAUGAUGCAAAGUGUAUGUAAAACAUGUUUCUGUCUCCAAUUUGUAAUGCAUUGUUGCGGGGUUCUUCUGCUAACCUCGUCUUUCGUUCCAAAAAUCCAGGCUUAGUCGGAAAAUGAUGGUUUUCUCGGUUUUUAUUCCCUACCUCACCAGGUGCAAACAGUGCCAAUAUGUACAAACCAAAAAAAAUAAAGUGAAUGAACCAAAAAUGCUCUAUAUACAAUUUCAAAAAAUCAAAAGAAAGGAAAAACAAACAAACAAGAAAACAAAAAAACGAGUUCUUCAAUAACUCAGCUCGCAAACAACAAAUCAACCACUGUUACCUCCUCUGUAACUAACCACACACUCUCCUCGAUUAGGGCCCAGGCAGCCCCUUUUAUAGUGGUAGCCCCUCCCACACUACUACCUUUCUAAAAACAACAUAAACAUCUUUUCCCCAUUAUGACAGCCAUUCCAUAUGCAGUGAUCAUGACAACAAUUUGUAUAAAAAUUAUAUCAGUAUGUUCACUGUUUAUCUUCCAUAGAAGACGCCUGGUACUCAGAUAAAUUGACAUUAUUAAAAACCACAUAUUUUUCCACAUCACAUGGUGUCUAAUUACGCACGUCAUCAUCCUAUAUAAUGAUGGUGAUGCGUACGCCCUGUUUCUCCGCCGGAAGCGGACAGGUAAGUGGUGGCGGCGUAUUUCCACACACCCCGUAAGUUAUCAUCUGCGUGUGUAUGAAUACAUUAAAUUAGCGCUGCCAAGUGUGCACCCUUGGCUGUGCUAUUGUCCGGUGAGGGGAAGAGGGAUGUGUGUUUUGUUAUGUUUUGUUUAGCGCGGAGCAGAAGGGAAUGGGGAAGAUGUGUUGUUUGUGUGUGUGUCUGUGUGUGUGCGCUGCGUGUGUGUGUGCUGGCCGCAGUCAGUGACAGCGCUGCUCCGUCACAUGCAUCAACUGCCAGAAUAAUGUCUGCUGUGGUUCAGGUGAUAAAAGGUCACUGGUUUGAUUCCCAGUCCCCCAGUCCAGCUCAAGGGUCAUUGAAUUUUAUUGAAUUGAAUUGAAAUGAAUUGAACUGAACUGAAGUCUGUUCUGUUGUAUUUCCAGUUGGAAAUUUCUCAGAGGCACCCAGACAUCUAUGCUGUUCCUGUGAAGACAGCCAAGCUGGAUUACAAUCGCCCACAGCCUAUCGGGUAGGCUCACUACUGCCAUACGACUGUUUCCAAGCUCUGCUCUCCAGCUCCGGUCCAGAACCCCUGACUCUUUUAUCCUCCAAGGAGGGAAGUCCCUUCUACACCAGUGAAGAGGAAGCAGUGGCAGGAUACUACACCGCAGACUCCUACCAGUACCAAGACACUGAACUGUAGGACCAGCACACAGCAAUCUCGUCCUCAGCUUCCUGGACAUACAUGUUCACAUCUACUGCAUAUGCAGUCUAUUUACACACUUACCAUUCUAUCAUGUCCUGCACAACAAGUAAGCUGUUGACUUUGAACUGACUUGCUUCUUUAUUGAGGGGAAAAACUGCCUUUUUUUGCUUCAAGGAAGUUAAAGCAAUCUGUACUAUCCAUCUGGAUAGAAAUACGCUGUCUUCACUUGACUUUUUUUAUGUUGUUUUAAAAAAAAUUUUUCUUACAUACCACUUUUAAUGGUCAAAACUGAGUAACUAGGAACCACUUGUUUUCUUGCCUAUGCAACUCUUCAGUUUGUGCACAGCAACUGAAAUCUAUUGCCACGAGUUUUGCCCUCACAAAAACCUCAACAAACCCAAAGCCCACAGUGCACUUUAUCAUAUCUAUCCCCUGCUUUUUUUAAGCUCCUAUUAUUGGCAGGUAUCAUCAACAAAAGUUACGUAUAUAUUAUUACAUACAGCUUAUAUAUCUAAAGUAAAGUGUUUAUACUCUGUCUUUGCAUUCCUUUGUAUGACAAUGACAAUGCCUGUGUAUACAAACAGUAUAUAAUAUUAUUAUAUAUACGAUAUAUAUAGAUUAUAUAUAUAUAUAUAUAUUCUAUCUAGUAACUCUGGAAUUUGUUACAAUUUUUUGAAGUGCCUUUUACUUUCUUAGUCCUGUGAGGUUUGGGUUGUCGUUCCUCUGCCCCUAAGCCCUCCAGCCGUAAACCUCUGCUGCUGUCAAGCUUAAAGAGAAACCAGGGAAUCAGUGACACCAAUACCUUAAUACUGUAUCAACACACUGUACUGUCUGUUGUCACCCUCAGUAACAAAAUGCACCCACAAAAAUACAGUACACACCCUGCACCUGCAGUCCUGUCUGCCAUGUAUAAGAAAAACAAACUCUGUCUGAUAUGAUAGACGAAUAUGAGUCUAACGCCACUUUGAAAUUUUAAAUUUAGAUAUUUAGACUUGUUGCAAGCUGUAAAGGCCCAGUCACUCCAGCAAAAAACAGCCAAAUUUUGUGGCAAAAUCAGUUGACUUCAAUGGAAUUGGCACAAUCAGGGAAACUCAUAGCGCUGAAGUAAAUAUGCACAAAUUCUUCUGGUCAAGUUCAGUUUUGGUGUACUUUAACAUUAAGGAACAAAGCUCCAGAGAGUUAAAAAGGAAGCUAUCUAGAGUAUAAACCGCUCCACAAAAGCGGCAUGUAUUUUAGACAGUAAUGAGACAACAAAUAUGUCACAAUAAACUUUCUAAAUCUAUCGUCCUGUAAAUACUCAAGUGAGACAUCAGACGAUAAAGUAAGUCAGUAAAAUUAUUACCCAAGCUGUCUCAAAUAUGCACCAAGACUGAUUCAGCACUUUUUUCUUAAUAUGUCUACCUUAGCUUGUUAGCUACAGUAGUUUGCCAAUUAGUUCUGUAAGUAAUCACCGUCACCAAGCUUCCAGCAUAACUGUUAUUAGGAAGUCCAUCGAAUUUUGCUGUGCCACUUUCUGGUGUGACUGGGCAUUAAGAUUUAUUUUUCUUACUUUUGCCAUCUUUGGUCCUCAGCAUUCAUUGCUGUGCUGUUUUGCACUCUACAUCACAGUCACAAAUUAUUAGACAGUCUUAAUUGUAUGGCCAGUAGAGUGAUAUUGAUUUCUGCAAGCGGCACCCUCUUUUGUCUGUUUAGUCAUGGUGGCUAUCACUGCCUGUGCUAAAGCCCUACAAAUAAUGAAGUUGGUAAUUAUAACUAUAUUUUUCUUAUUGUCAACAAAUCCAAUGUGCAGAUAUGAACCAACAAUGAAUGAAUCCUACUAACAAGUAUUAUCUGUGUACCAUUGCAAACCAUACAAACCUACCAGACACGGAGAACAGCAAAAGUAGAAACUUUAAGCAGGCUGAAUAUUUUUUGUGUUCUAUCAGUCAUCCACAGUGUGGAGCAAAACACAGUUAUACACCCAGAAGCAAACCUGUGAUAGAUGAGUCGCCUUCAGAAAGCACUAACCUACAAAGACAGUCCAAGUUUUGAGUGGGAGUGUGUGUCCUGCCAACAUAUGUCUGUGGUAGAGGCACUCAGCUGUCUUUGUUCUGGGUUCCAUCAUGGGUGUGGAUGAAUGGUGUCCCACGUGUUUCAAAUAUGCUUAAUUGUAUAUCUCAGUUCACUCUUUACCUCCACACAUGAGUUACAGAGUGCUUGCUUUCAGAAUCCAAGUGCUAAUGAGUGAUACUGUUCUGUGUCAUGGCAGAGAGGUAUAUUACAAAUGAGAUGGAGCGUAUGAGAAGACUGUGUCUGCUGAGUUUUUCCAUGUUUUCACCUUAAAACACCAAAUAAAACAAAAAAGUCUUAACCACA
Larimichthys crocea (large yellow croaker) is the source of this 4230-nucleotide long non-coding RNA. RefSeq lists it as uncharacterized. The record is from RefSeq and is a predicted model, not a curated record. NCBI's taxonomy places the organism in Eukaryota, Metazoa, Chordata, Actinopteri, Sciaenidae. The transcript has 2 exons.